RNAcentral lists this antisense RNA (47 nucleotides) under Brucella anthropi ATCC 49188. Its description in RNAcentral is "Ochrobactrum anthropi ATCC 49188 ctRNA". It matches the Rfam family "ctRNA". From Rfam's summary of the family: This family represents a group of ctRNAs (or counter-transcribed RNAs) from p42d and related plasmids. ctRNAs are small, highly structured, antisense sequences which are involved in negative regulation. Members of this family are known to bind to the mRNA of repC causing translational repression. This model contains the predicted stem-loop structure followed by a U-rich tract which is proposed to act as a Rho-independent transcriptional terminator. The record is from Rfam by way of RNAcentral. Lineage: Bacteria; Pseudomonadati; Pseudomonadota; Alphaproteobacteria; Hyphomicrobiales; Brucellaceae.
AGAGAGACUUCCUUGACGGUAACGUUUUGGGGGUCUUUUUCUUUUGC